AGUUGGUAGUGAGGCAGCCAUGGGGCUAGAAGCACUGGUGCCCCUGGCCAUGAUAGUGGCCAUCUUCCUGCUCCUGGUGGACCUGAUGCACCGGCACCAACGCUGGGCUGCACGCUACCCGCCAGGUCCCCUGCCACUGCCCGGGCUGGGCAACCUUGCUGCAUGUGGACUUCCAGAACACACCAUACUGCUUCGACCAGUUGCGGCGCCGCUUCGGGGACGUGUUCAGCCUGCAGCUGGCCUGGACGCCGGUGGUCGUGCUCAAUGGGCUGGCGGCCGUGCGCGAGGCGAUGGUGACCCGCGGCGAGGACACGGCCGACCGCCCGCCUGCGCCCAUCUACCAGGUCCUGGGCUUCGGGCCGCGUUCCCAAGGGGUGUUCCUGUCGCGCUAUGGGCCCGCGUGGCGCGAGCAGAGGCGCUUCUCCGUGUCCACCUUGCGCAACUUGGGCCUGGGCAAGAAGUCGCUGGAGCAGUGGGUGACCGAGGAGGCCGCCUGCCUUUGUGCCGCCUUCGCCGACCAAGCCGGACGCCCCUUUCGCCCCAACGGUCUCUUGGACAAAGCCGUGAGCAACGUGAUCGCCUCCCUCACCUGCGGGCGCCGCUUCGAGUACGACGACCCUCGCUUCCUCAGGCUGCUGGACCUAGCUCAGGAGGGACUGAAGGAGGAGUCGGGCUUCCUGCGCGAGGUGCUGAAUGCUGUCCCCGUCCUCCUGCACAUCCCAGCGCUGGCUGGCAAGGUCCUACGCUUCCAAAAGGCUUUCCUGACCCAGCUGGAUGAGCUGCUAACUGAGCACAGGAUGACCUGGGACCCAGCCCAGCCACCCCGAGACCUGACUGAGGCCUUCCUGGCAAAGAAGGAGAAGGCCAAGGGGAGCCCUGAGAGCAGCUUCAAUGAUGAGAACCUGCGCAUAGUGGUGGGUAACCUGUUCCUUGCCGGGAUGGUGACCACCUUGACCACGCUGGCCUGGGGCCUCCUGCUCAUGAUCCUACACCUGGAUGUGCAGCGACGAAGGAGAGUGUCCCCUGGGUGCUGACCCAUUGUGGGGACGCAUGUCUGUCCAGUCCGUGUCCAACAGGAGAUCGACGACGUGAUAGGGCAGGUGCGGCGACCAGAGAUGGGUGACCAGGCUCACAUGCCCUACACCACUGCCGUGAUUCACGAGGUGCAGCGCUUUGGGGACAUCAUCCCCCUGAGUGUGACCCAUAUGACAUCCCAUGACAUCGAAGUACAGGGCUUCCGCAUCCCUAAGGGAACGACACUCAUCACCAACCUGUCAUCGGUGCUGAAGGAUGAGGCCGUCUGGAAGAAGCCCUUCCGCUUCCACCCCGAACACUUCCUGGAUGCCCAGGGCCACUUUGUGAAGCCGGAGGCCUUCCUGCCUUUCUCAGCAGGCCGCCGUGCAUGCCUCGGGGAGCCCCUGGCCCGCAUGGAGCUCUUCCUCUUCUUCACCUCCCUGCUGCAGCACUUCAGCUUCUCCGUGGCCGCCGGACAGCCCCGGCCCAGCCACUCUCGUGUCGUCAGCUUUCUGGUGACCCCAUCCCCCUACGAGCUUUGUGCUGUGCCCCGCUAGAAUGGGGUACCUAGUCCCCAGCCUGCUCCCUAGCCAGAGGCUCUAAUGUACAAUAAAGCAAUGUGGUAGUUCCAACUCGGGUCCCCUGCUCACGCCCUCGUUGGGAUCAUCCUCCUCAGGGCAACCCCACCCCUGCCUCAUUCCUGCUUACCCCACCGCCUGGCCGCAUUUGAGACGGGUACGUUGAGGCUGAGCAGAUGUCAGUUACCCUUGCCCAUAAUCCCAUGUCCCCCACUGACCCAACUCUGACUGCCCAGAUUGGUGACAAGGACUACAUUGUCCUGGCAUGUGGGGAAGGGGCCAGAAUGGGCUGACUAGAGGUGUCAGUCAGCCCUGGAUGUGGUGGAGAGGGCAGGACUCAGCCUGGAGGCCCAUAUUUCAGGCCUAACUCAGCCCACCCCACAUCAGGGACAGCAGUCCUGCCAGCACCAUCACAACAGUCACCUCCCUUCAUAUAUGACACCCCAAAAUGGAAGACAAAUCAUGUCAGGGAGCUAUAUGCCAGGGCUACCUCCCAGGGCUCAGUCGGCAGGUGCCAGAACAUUCCCUGGGAAGGCCCCAGGAAAACCCAGGACCGAGCCACCGCCCUCAGCCUGUCACCUUGUGUCCAAAAUUGGUGGGUUCUUGGUCUCACUGACUUCAAGAAUGAAGCCGUGGACCCUCACGGUGAGUGUUACAGUUCUUAAAGAUGGUGUGUUCAGA
Homo sapiens (human) is the source of this 2273-nucleotide RNA transcript. It is a transcript of the gene named cytochrome P450 family 2 subfamily D member 7 (gene/pseudogene), with no coding region annotated. NCBI's taxonomy places the organism in Eukaryota, Metazoa, Chordata, Mammalia, Primates, Hominidae. The record is from RefSeq and is marked validated.